This is a long non-coding RNA of Acanthochromis polyacanthus (spiny chromis), 638 nucleotides long. RefSeq lists it as uncharacterized. The record is from RefSeq and is a predicted model, not a curated record. NCBI's taxonomy places the organism in Eukaryota, Metazoa, Chordata, Actinopteri, Pomacentridae. The transcript is spliced from 4 exons.
CGACCUGUCACACAAGCUAAUAUCUAUGCAACUCAACCAGUAGACUGAAGCUGAAUUCCACUUCAAGACAUUGUUAAUUUGGCUCAACUCAAGUAUCGGGCUCUAUGGCUCUGAGCGGCUACUUGCAGAGCUAAGCGCUGCCCCACAGAAGACAGACAGCCUCAUCAUGGACAUAAGAUUGUUUUUUCGAAGAAAAGAGCCAGGUUCAGCUGAAUACAAUCUAUUUGUGUAUGAUUGUCAGUCCAAAGAGGGAGAGACGAAAAAGGGGAAGGAGAGGAGAGAGUGCAAAGUCAGGAAGAACCAGGUAAGAAAACAAACAGAGAAUAGUGGCUCGUAAAACAGUAACUGUUAAGAUGACAAAGAAAAACAUCCUUUCACAAUAUAACUUUACAUAUAUGUCAUGGAGGUUAUGUGUUCUCCCCACAGUAAAUGCUUUUCAGAAGCACACUUAACAGAUAUCAGUGGACUUCAUUCUAAACAGAACAUCAUUACAUUUUCCUAAUUAUCUAUUUGUUUUUCUAUUUGUUUAAUUUCACUAUAAAAGGAAGAGAACAAGGAGAGACUCUGGGAGAUGAGAGUGUGCAGACCAGGGAAAGAAAUGCUGUGCAUCACAUUUCAAAUAAAAGUCAAAAAAUAAG